AAGACUUGACAUACACGCGGAAACGGCCAGAGAUGGUCAGCCCCUUUGUGGUCGGUGUACAGGUGGUGCAUGGCUGUCGUCAGCUGGUGUCGUGAGACGUUGGGUUAAGUCCCGCAACGAGCGCAACCCUUGUCCCGUGUUGCCAGCAAGCCCCUUCGGGGGUGUUGGGGACUCACGGGAGACCGCCGGGGUCAACUCGGAGGAAGGUGGGGACGACGUCAAGUCAUCAUGCCCCUUAUGUCUUGGGCUGCACACGUGCUACAAUGGCCGGUACAAUGAGCUGCGAUACCGCAAGGUGGAGCGAAUCUCAAAAAGCCGGUCUCAGUUCGGAUUGGGGUCUGCAACUCGACCCCAUGAAGUCGGAGUCGCUAGUAAUCGCAGAUCAGCAUUGCUGCGGUGAAUACGUUCCCGGGCCUUGUACACACCGCCCGUCACGUCACGAAAGUCGGUAACACCCGAAGCCGGUGGCCCAACCCCUUGUGGGAGGGAGCUGUCGAAGGUGGGACUGGCGAU
RNAcentral lists this ribosomal RNA (513 nucleotides) under Streptomyces sp. RNAcentral's name for it is "bacterial SSU rRNA". It matches the Rfam family "Bacterial small subunit ribosomal RNA", at positions 976 to 1475 of the family's 1533-position model. The record is from RNAcentral. Lineage: Bacteria; Bacillati; Actinomycetota; Actinomycetes; Kitasatosporales; Streptomycetaceae.